AAGGAUUAUAAAUCAUUUCCACAGUAUUUUCCACACAAACAAACACACACCAGACAAUAAAUCAAAGGGAGAAAACUGUCAUUUGGCGCCAGCAACCACCGUAAAGACAAUUUUUUGAGAUAUUCUCACAUGGCCCUUUGUCUUGGGGAGAAUCAGGCAGCACAGGAGUUCGGGCUGGCUGCCGCUACCUUUUUACAAUAAUGCGCGUUGGCAGCUCCAGCUCCAGCAACGGCUCCAGCAAGGGCUCCAGCAAGGGCUCCAGCCCCCCCGAGUACUUGUAAAUUGUCGAUAAGCGCAUCGAUAGCUGCCCUGCACCUGACCAUAAAUCACGGUCUUUCUUUCGAAGCGCUCUUAUCAGGAGCUGCCCUACAUGCGCCCUACAUGCGAUAAGCGAAACGCACACAAAGAGAGAACUUUUUGCCAUCCACUCGUAAAAAGAUAGCGAGCGGGUCGCUGGGACGAGGGACGCAGGGACGCAGGGACGCAAGGACGGAGAAAAGGUGCUGGCUGACUGCCUUUUUAAUUGAUUGCUCUCGGCCUCAUCCAAUGUCUUGCAUUAUUAUCACAACAGGGCAAUCUCGCUUUGGAAUACAACAAGGGAACAACAGCAAACACGAUAAAUAACAGCUCGCAGCGGGUACCAGAGAGGCCGACUCGCGACCCUUUCUAGGGUCUGGUUCUGGGUAGGGGUAUGGGCAUCUUCUUGCUGCUUCGGUCCACACUACGUGCCCGGGCUGCCCAAGGUUUGGGCCAUAAAGGCUGCCAUAAUGAACCCUUUCUCCCCUCGCCAGCCCGUCUCUGGACCGUCUCUGGAUCGGGUGCGAUAAACAUCAAGCAUCGUUAGUCUUUCACUCCGUCUUUGAGACCAGUCUCGAGCUCCAACUCAAGCCCCAUCUCCAUUUCCAUCUGGGUUCUUGUUUUGAUUGCCAGUCUUGCCUCUCUCUGUCUCAAGAGAGAAAGAGAAAGAGAGAGGGGCAGAUCGGGGUGGAUUCUCUGUGGGAUAACGAGCUUGUACUUGGGCUAUCGAUUAAGCGAUUCCAAUCGCCUGGAUCCGACCAUUUUCACUUAUCCACCGGCUCCAGCAGGAAGCGCGUUAUUAAGUGUUUUAUAAUUUGCUCUACCAGACUCCUUCUGGUUGCUCCAAAAAGUUCAUCAACUUAAUUUUGUUUACAAAUUACAGACACUUGGGGCAUGGAAGGAAAGGAGGAAGAGAUAAAACUGUCUUCUGCCUGCGGCUUAGUCAGCUGUCAGCACUUGAUAGUUGGCUGAAGGCCCUGCCCCUGCCCCGCCCCUACCCAGAAACCAGAUCGAGCCACACCCAGGGAUGGAGCCACCAACAUAUGUGUCGUCAUUCCCUUUCGUCGCUGGCAUUAUUUUGACAGUUCAUUUGUCACAUCUCUUGAUUUGACGGAGCUGCGGUCGCGGUCGCGGUCUGGUCGGAUCUGGUCUGGUUCUGGUUCUGGUGUUGGUGCAGAAUAGGAGCAGGGUAGCAUCCAACAGAACAAUAAGCCCUUAUCGCCCCUACCGCUCUUGCCAGAUGUGUGAAAAUCGCCAGUCACGUCACCAUUUUUCUGCCACUUGAAUGCAGGAAAAAGGCGUGUCGCGGCCCUUGAUCACAAAGGAAAUCUUAAUUGAAGUUUAACAACAGUUCACGUCUUCAUAUGCCCCUGUGAAGGGACUUUUCCGUAAACGCAUUUAAUGCAUUCCCCAAAAUCGCAGCCACACUGCCAGUCCCUCUCAUCCAAUGACAAUAGCUCAUAAAAAUUCUAAUCAGCCAGAGGCUGGCUCGAACAGAGACCCGGUUAAAUGGAAAUUUAUUGCCCCAACUGGUAUUUGUUUACCCCGUCCUUUGUGCGUGCCCUGCCUCAUAAUCGAUGACCCCAUCGGUAUCCACAGCGGUCUUGUUAGCAAAAUCACCUGCAGUGCAGACGACCAACGGGCCAAGCGGGC
Drosophila pseudoobscura is the source of this 1950-nucleotide long non-coding RNA. RefSeq lists it as uncharacterized. Lineage: Eukaryota; Metazoa; Arthropoda; Insecta; Diptera; Drosophilidae. The record is from RefSeq and is a predicted model, not a curated record. The transcript has 3 exons.